GGGGAAUAUUGGACAAUGGGCGCAAGCCUGAUCCAGCAAUGCCGCGUGUGUGAAGAAGGUCUUCGGAUCGUAAAGCACUUUCGACGGGGACGAUGAUGACGGUACCCGUAGAAGAAGCCCCGGCUAACUUCGUGCCAGCAGCCGCGGUAAUACGAAGGGGGCUAGCGUUACUCGGAAUUACUGGGCGUAAAGGGCGCGUAGGCGGCGCUCCAAGUUAGGCGUGAAAGUCCUGGGCUCAACCUGGGAACUGCGCUUAAGACUGGAGUGCUUGAGGAUGGAAGAGGGUCGUGGAAUUCCCAGUGUAGAGGUGAAAUUCGUAGAUAUUGGGAAGAACACCGGUGGCGAAGGCGGCGACCUGGUCCAUGACUGACGCUGAGGCGCGACAGCGUGGGGAGCAAAC
This 400-nucleotide ribosomal RNA is filed under the name uncultured bacterium. RNAcentral describes it as "bacterial SSU rRNA". It matches the Rfam family "Bacterial small subunit ribosomal RNA", at positions 356 to 773 of the family's 1533-position model. The record is from RNAcentral.